GUCAGGCAUGCUGGUGUGUGCCUGUAGUCCCAGCUACUCGGGAGGCUGAGGCGGGAGGAUCGCUUGAGCCCAGGAGUUCUGGGCUGUAGUGCGCUAUGCUGAUCAGGUGUCUGCACUAAGUUCGGCAUCAAUAUGGUGACAUCCUGGGAGUGGGGGACUGCCAGAUUGCCUAAGGAAGGGUGAGCUGGCCCAGGUCAGAAACAGCAGCUCAAAACUUCCAUGCUGAUCAGUAGUGGAAUCACACCUGUGAAUAGCCACCGCACUCCACUCCAGCAUGGGCAACAUAGGGAGACCCCAUCUCUC
Molecule: unclassified non-coding RNA, 303 nt
Organism: Callithrix jacchus (white-tufted-ear marmoset)
Lineage: Eukaryota; Metazoa; Chordata; Mammalia; Primates; Cebidae
Rfam family: Metazoan signal recognition particle RNA
About the family: The signal recognition particle (SRP) is a universally conserved ribonucleoprotein. It is involved in the co-translational targeting of proteins to membranes. The eukaryotic SRP consists of a 300-nucleotide 7S RNA and six proteins: SRPs 72, 68, 54, 19, 14, and 9.
Source: Ensembl